UGAAACUUCAUUCAUGUCAAUCCAAAGGCCAUCAACUGGAACAAGUUUGUGGAAGCGGGCGAUUUCAUCAAUCCACCAUGAAACACCAUUGGGACUCAGAUAGUCAGGGAAGUACACAGGCCCUGGCCAUACUUGAGCUAGGUAAGGUUUGCCAUCAUAUUUGAUGAAGACAUCUUUGGCCAUGCCCCUCUGAUACACUCCAUAUGUGGAGUUGACGGCUAUUCCUGGAUCAAUGAGGACAAUAUACUUCAUGCCUCGAGAGUGAAUUUUAUCAAGAAAGGCAAGGAGCUUGGGACGAGGGUAGUUAACAGGAUCAAGAGUAAAAUCCUUAGCAGCAUCCAUGUGAUCAUCA
Molecule: unclassified non-coding RNA, 352 nt
Filed under: Hevea brasiliensis (rubber tree)
Lineage: Eukaryota; Viridiplantae; Streptophyta; Magnoliopsida; Malpighiales; Euphorbiaceae
Source: RNAcentral